CAGCAGCCGCGGUAAUACGAAGGGUGCAAGCGUUACUCGGAAUUACUGGGCGUAAAGCGUGCGUAGGUGGUGGUUUAAGUCCGUUGUGAAAGCCCUGGGCUCAACCUGGGAAUUGCAGUGGAUACUGGAUCACUAGAGUGUGGUAGAGGAUAGUGGAAUUUCCGGUGUAGCAGUGAAAUGCGUAGAGAUCGGAAGGAACAUCUGUGGCGAAGGCGGCCAUCUGGGACAACACUGACGCUGAAGCACGAAAGCGUGGGGAGCAAACAGGAUUAGAUACCCCCGUAGUCCCUGUCUCUUAUAC
Molecule: ribosomal RNA, 301 nt
Filed under: uncultured bacterium
Lineage: Bacteria
Description: partial 16S ribosomal RNA
Rfam family: Bacterial small subunit ribosomal RNA
Source: RNAcentral